RNAcentral lists this ribosomal RNA (449 nucleotides) under uncultured bacterium. RNAcentral's name for it is "partial 16S ribosomal RNA". It matches the Rfam family "Bacterial small subunit ribosomal RNA", at positions 29 to 523 of the family's 1533-position model. The record is from RNAcentral.
AACGAACGCUGGCGGCAUGCCUAACACAUGCAAGUCGAACGAGACCUUCGGGUCUAGUGGCGCACGGGUGCGUAACGCGUGGGAAUCUACCCUUGGGUUCGGAAUAACAGUUAGAAAUGACUGCUAAUACCGGAUGAUGACGUAAGUCCAAAGAUUUAUCGCCCAAGGAUGAGCCCGCGUAAGAUUAGCUUGUUGGUGGGGUAAUGGCCUACCAAGGCGACGAUCUUUAGCUGGUCUGAGAGGAUGAUCAGCCACACUGGGACUGAGACACGGCCCAGACUCCUACGGGAGGCAGAAGUGGGGAAUAUUGGACAAUGGGCGAAAGCCUGAUCCAGCGAUGCCGCGUGAGUGAUGAAGGCCUUAGGGUUGUAAAGCUCUUUUACCAGGGAUGAUAAUGACAGUACCUGGAGAAUAAGCUCCGGCUAACUCCGUGCCAGCAGCCGCAGUAA